UUCUGAUCUUCGAAGUGGAGCUGCUGAGCAUCGAGAGGAGAUCCGAGCUCUGACGAAGAAGAAGGAGAGCUUUGAGAACGGUUCCAGGAGGUGCUGCGGCAUUAAGUGGAGACCAAGUGACACCUAAUGAAGAUUAAAAGGCAAAUGUGAGAGAAGAGUCUGCAAAGCUCCUGUUUUCCUUCUAGCAGUUUUGCUUUUUAUGCUCUGAUUCAUUGAAUUGAAACUGAGAAGAUGCAAGAACUGGCUGUUUGUACCAGCUAAGCUCUAGAGUGAGGGUUGACAGCAGCAGCUACGUCCUGUAUUUGACUGUGCUGUGCCGCCUCUUCAUCUCAUUUCAUUUUAAUUUUCUGUGAGCGGGUUUAUUCACAUCUGCACACCGUUUUUGUUAUUUGGGGAGUUUUGUUCAGAAAAUAAUUUAGUGUGAAGUGGGAGUUGGGUCAGACUAGGAUCAUUUUUUUUCACUGUAAGAAUUUGAAUUAUGUAAUAAAAUGUUUAUUAGUA
Long non-coding RNA from Pelmatolapia mariae (spotted tilapia), 501 nucleotides. RefSeq lists it as uncharacterized. The transcript is spliced from 2 exons. Lineage: Eukaryota; Metazoa; Chordata; Actinopteri; Cichliformes; Cichlidae. The record is from RefSeq and is a predicted model, not a curated record.